AGAGCGGCGCCGGCCUCGGCGGCUGAGGAAAGCAGGAGGUGGUGGCGGCGGGAAGAUGGCUCCUUCACCUACCAAACGCAAAGACCGCUCAGAUGAGAAGUCCAAGGAUCGCUCAAAAGAUAAAGGGGCCACCAAGGAGUCGAGUGAGAAGGAUCGCGGCAGGGACAAAACCCGAAAGAGGCGCAGCGCUUCCAGUGGUAGCAGCAGUACCAGGUCUCGGUCCAGCUCGACUUCCAGCUCAGGCUCCAGCACCAGCACUGGCUCAAGCAGUGGCUCCAGCUCUUCCUCAGCGUCCAGCCGCUCAGGAAGCUCCAGCACCUCCCGCAGCUCCAGCUCUAGCAGCUCUUCUGGCUCUCCAAGUCCUUCUCGGCGCAGACACGACAACAGGAGGCGUUCCCGCUCCAAAUCCAAACCACCUAAAAGAGAUGAAAAGGAGAGGAAAAGGCGGAGCCCAUCUCCUAAGCCCACCAAAGUGCACAUUGGGAGACUCACCAGGAAUGUGACAAAGGAUCACAUCAUGGAGAUAUUUUCCACCUAUGGGAAAAUUAAAAUGAUUGACAUGCCCGUGGAAAGGAUGCAUCCCCAUCUGUCCAAAGGCUAUGCAUACGUAGAGUUUGAGAAUCCAGAUGAAGCUGAGAAGGCGCUGAAGCACAUGGAUGGAGGUGGGUGACCCUGCCACACACCCCUGACCUCUCAGAGACCCGCUGCCGCUAGGGGCUUUCAAACUGAUUU
RNAcentral lists this small RNA (732 nucleotides) under Pongo abelii (Sumatran orangutan). Its description in RNAcentral is "retained intron". Lineage: Eukaryota; Metazoa; Chordata; Mammalia; Primates; Hominidae. The record is from RNAcentral.